GGAAGGCACAGCAGCUACCAGCAGAGGGCGAGGCGAAAGCUCCCUCCGAGGCAGUCUGCUUGCUUCUCAUGCACGCUGCUCUGUCUUCCUCUUGAAUUCAGGGGGAGAGCAACUGGCCCUAUCCAUCCCCAGCACAGCAUCUCUCCAGUGACUGCUGGUGGUAUCUACCUUAUGUUUCUUUUUAAAAGCUUGGCUGAAGUUUACCCACUGCAGCCUCAUCUAGAUCCAGCAAGACUGCUCUCGGUUAUCCGUGCUCUAGUCCUGGGGUGACCAACCAGAGGCUGCUGGUCUACAACUUCCCAUGAAAAUGGAAGCUGCAGCCCAACCACCGCUGGAGAGCCUCAGGAUGGCGACCCCGACUCUGCCUGCAUUCAGGAUUAACGGGGCUGAUUUGGACUUUUUGACAUCACCUUUUGAAAGACUGUAUUGUGCGGAUCUGUGGGAUUGUAGCUGCUGUUCAAUUAUUUUUGUAAUACCGAUAUUGGGUUAAAUAUAUAAUUAAUAAGA
Hemicordylus capensis (graceful crag lizard) is the source of this 507-nucleotide long non-coding RNA. RefSeq lists it as uncharacterized. The transcript has 4 exons. The record is from RefSeq and is a predicted model, not a curated record. Lineage: Eukaryota; Metazoa; Chordata; Lepidosauria; Squamata; Cordylidae.